ACAAACAGGACAGAAAUACUCUCCAGGAUAGGUAUGGAUGUCAAUUAUGCAUUCAAUAUCAAAACCCAUAUCAACUCAGGAGUAAGAAAGUUUUCCACAACACAUCAAUGCAAUUAUGCUUCUGGUAGAUGAAAGCUGCUCUUGAUGUGCAAACUGUACAAAAAAAAUCGACCAAGCGGCAAGAUUAAAUGAAGAACCAAAAGAAACCCUAAAUUCAGUUCACUCUAAUACGAAAACAUACAUCAAAAAGAGAACCAG
RNAcentral lists this unclassified non-coding RNA (258 nucleotides) under Hevea brasiliensis (rubber tree). The record is from RNAcentral. Lineage: Eukaryota; Viridiplantae; Streptophyta; Magnoliopsida; Malpighiales; Euphorbiaceae.